Molecule: unclassified non-coding RNA, 235 nt
Filed under: uncultured fungus
Lineage: Eukaryota; Fungi
Description: sequence contains ITS2
Rfam family: 5.8S ribosomal RNA (bases 1-52)
Source: RNAcentral
AACGCACAUUGCGCCCCUUGGUAUUCCGAGGGGCACGCCUGUUCGAGCGUCAUUUAAACCAUCAAGCCCUGCUUGGUCUUGGACGCGGUCGAGUGACCCGUCCGUAACCCGUUGGCGGUGCAGUCCGGCUCCAAGCGUAGCAAGAAUUUCGCUUCAGGAGUCCGUGGCGGCGUCUGCCAGGAAACACCACCCAAAGUUUGACCUCGGAUCAGGUGAGGAUACCCGCUGAACUUAA